AGCUCCCUGAAUCCCUGUCCCAG
RNAcentral lists this microRNA (23 nucleotides) under Homo sapiens (human). Its description in RNAcentral is "hsa-miR-7106-3p". Lineage: Eukaryota; Metazoa; Chordata; Mammalia; Primates; Hominidae. The record is from miRBase by way of RNAcentral.